UCUCUGCUCCUCCCCCUGGAUCCCGAGUCUCCGCGCUGAACCAUGCCUGAGCCGGGCAAGUCCACAAUGGAAGGAAUCGUGCGUGAGUUGCAACGACCGAAGGACUGUGAAAGCAACGCUUGUGUCCUGUGAUGUCCUACGAGGCAGUAGAAUCCCUGGUUUACAAAACAGGAAAUGGGCUUGAAUGGAAAGAAACCAACAUCACUAGGAGAUUCCAAAUGUGCAGAGGCACAAAUGGCUCCUGGAUUGCAAAGGUGCAUAAAUGCUAAGGUCGGGGAGGGCAGCAAAAGGCCAUGUGUAAGGUGGCACAUGCCAGCUGGCUGAGCGAUGCUAACUACGGUCCCCUGAGUCUUGCAGCAGCAACAGUGGGCAUCUAUCAGCUCGUGGGUCUGGAGCUCAGAUUGCAUGGCCCAAGGACCCCCCCCCCACCACCACCACCGCAGGGAACGUCUCCUCCCACAGGAAGACGAUUAUAUCUGCGUGGAACCGAAGGCUUCCCUUUUAAAUUCACAAAGCCGGGUGAAUCUCCUAAAAGUCCUUUACCGGCUUGGUAGGAGACACGGGUGUUGGAGACCAAAGCCCGCCAAGGGCUGGCUCCCUUUCCCAUCUGCUGGGACAACCCCACUGCAACAAAUGGGGCCCGCAGCAUGCGAGGGCGGCUCGGGACUGACCCAUUCAGGCUGUGCCCUUGACUGGAGAGCCACCGGAGAGGACACUUGAGCGCCACAUCCCUUUACACUUAGUUCUACCCCACCGGAAACAGGAUUAAAGGCAGCUCCCCGCCGCUUUGUAA
Molecule: long non-coding RNA, 793 nt
Organism: Lynx canadensis (Canada lynx)
Lineage: Eukaryota; Metazoa; Chordata; Mammalia; Carnivora; Felidae
Exons: 5
Source: RefSeq, a predicted model, not a curated record